This 613-nucleotide ribosomal RNA is filed under the name uncultured bacterium. RNAcentral describes it as "bacterial SSU rRNA". It matches the Rfam family "Bacterial small subunit ribosomal RNA", at positions 119 to 763 of the family's 1533-position model. The record is from RNAcentral.
AGGAACGUACCCUAAAGUGAGGGAUAAGCACCAGAAAUGGUGUCUAAUACCACAUGUGAUCUUCGGAUUAAAGGAUUUAUCCGCUUUGGGAACGGCCUGCGUCUGAUUAGCUUGUUGGUGAGGUAAAGGCUCACCAAGGCUAUGAUCGGUAGCUGGUCUAAGAGGAUGAUCAGCCAGACUGGGACUGAGACACGGCCCAGACUCCUACGGGAGGCAGCAGUAGGGAAUCUUCCACAAUGGACGAAAGUCUGAUGGAGCAACGCCGCGUGCAGGAUGAAUGCCUUCGGGUUGUAAACUGCUUUUAUCUGUGAAGAAUAUGACGGUAGCAGAUGAAUAAGGAUCGGCUAACUCCGUGCCAGCAGCCGCGGUCAUACGGAGGAUCCAAGCGUUAUCCGGAAUUACUGGGCGUAAAGAGUUGCGUAGGUGGUUAAGUAAGUAGAUAGUGAAAGCGUCUCGCUCAACGGGAUACCCAUUAUCUAAACUGCUUUGACUAGAGAACGAGAGAGGUUAUUGGAAUUCCUUGUGUAGGAGUGAAAUCCGUAGAUAUAAGGAGGAACACCGAUGGCGUAGGCAGAUAACUGGCUCGUUUCUGACACUAAGGCACGAAAGCGUG